This 405-nucleotide RNase P RNA is filed under the name Erythrobacter litoralis. RNAcentral describes it as "RNase P RNA component class A". It matches the Rfam family "Bacterial RNase P class A". From Rfam's summary of the family: Ribonuclease P (RNase P) is a ubiquitous endoribonuclease, found in archaea, bacteria and eukarya as well as chloroplasts and mitochondria. Its best characterised activity is the generation of mature 5'-ends of tRNAs by cleaving the 5'-leader elements of precursor-tRNAs. Lineage: Bacteria; Pseudomonadati; Pseudomonadota; Alphaproteobacteria; Sphingomonadales; Erythrobacteraceae. The record is from RNAcentral.
CCAGGGGGCCGGGCAGCCGCGUGCUUUUGCGCGAGGAAAGUCCGGGCUCCACGAAACGAGGGUGGCGGGUAACGCCCGCCCGGCGCAAGUCGAGGGAAAGUGCCACAGAGAGCAUACCGCCGAUGGCUCCAGUCCUUUUGGGACAGGAGAUCAGGCAAGGGUGAAAGGGUGCGGUAAGAGCGCACCGGGGCUUCGGUAACGCGGCCCGCAUGGCAAACCCCACCCGGAGCAAGGCCGAAUAGGGACGGCGCGCCGGAAACGGCAGGGGCGUUUCGCCUCCGAUCGUCCGGGUUGGCUGCUCGAGCUGCGGAGCAAUCCGCGGCCCAGACGAAUGGCUGCCGCCGCGGCGCUGAUGUGUUCAUAUCGGCCGCGGAACAGAACCCGGCUUACAGGCCCCCUGGCAUU